RNAcentral lists this signal recognition particle RNA (306 nucleotides) under Callithrix jacchus (white-tufted-ear marmoset). RNAcentral describes it as "Metazoan signal recognition particle RNA (ENSCJAG00000085261.1)". It matches the Rfam family "Metazoan signal recognition particle RNA". Rfam says of the family: The signal recognition particle (SRP) is a universally conserved ribonucleoprotein. It is involved in the co-translational targeting of proteins to membranes. Lineage: Eukaryota; Metazoa; Chordata; Mammalia; Primates; Cebidae. The record is from Rfam by way of RNAcentral.
GCCGGGGGCGGUGGCGCAUGCCUGUAGUCCCAGCUACUCGGGAGGCUGAGGUGGGAAGAUGGCUUGAGCCCAGGAGUUCUGGGCUGUAGUGUGCUAUGCCAAUCGGAUGUCCGCACUAAGUUCGUCAUCAAUAUGGUGACCUCCCGGGAACCGGGGACCACCAGGUUGCCUAAGAAGGGGUGAACCGGCCCAGGUCGGAAAAGGAGCAGGUCAAAACUCCCGUGCUAAUCAGUAGUGGGAUUGCACCUGUGAAUAGCCACUGCACUCCAGCCUGGGCUGGAGAACGAGAACGAGACCCCAUCUCUU